This is a long non-coding RNA of Corticium candelabrum, 286 nucleotides long. RefSeq lists it as uncharacterized. The record is from RefSeq and is a predicted model, not a curated record. The transcript has 3 exons. Lineage: Eukaryota; Metazoa; Porifera; Homoscleromorpha; Homosclerophorida; Plakinidae.
UAUCGGACAUAUUUCACUGUCUCUUCGUGCAGGCUACCAGAGAAAACAGCGAUUGUAACUCAAAUUACCAGGAGUGUCCACAAUUAGGCGUAACAUCCAAGAGGCCAUUAUGGCAUUUUGAAAGCCUUUGUAGUGAAGAAUCCACUUCUUCGCCAGUCGGAUCGCUCACAGGCAAUGAAGUGACCAGUAGAGUGACGGCAUCUCUGUAGUGAUCACAUCACGGAGUUGGAAAAAGCAAAAAACGCAGUUUGUCAGCUUGAAAAAGAGCUAGAAAAGGGCAACAAAU